CUUGGAGAGGACAAUAAAGUUUCUAAAGUUUGAAAACGGAGCAGAAAAGCCCGCGCCCCCUCAGUGGCCGGGCUGUGGACGCCCGCGGCCCUGGAGCAGGCCCGGAGCUCACGCAGGUGCGGUCGCCGCGGAAUGGGCGUCACGGUGGACGUGCGCCAGGUGUACCAGUACCCCUUCGAGCAAGUGGUCUCCAGCUUCCUCCGAAAGUACCCCAACCCCAUGGAUAAAAAUGUCAUCUCUGUAAAAAUUGUGGAGGAAAGAAAAGAUGAAACAACAGGAAUCAUCUACAGAAAGAGGAUCGCAAUCUGUAAGAAUGUGAUUCCAGAAAUUUUAAGGAAGGUGAGCAUUUUAAAGAUUCCUAGUAUCCAGUUAGAAGAAGAAUCAUGGCUCAAUCUUCAGGAAAGAAACAUGGCUAUACGGAGUCACUGCCUUACAUGGACACAGUAUGCAUCCAUGAAGGAAGAGUCUGUCUUCAGGGAAAGUAUGGAAAAUCCAAAUUGGACAGAGUUCAUUCAAAGAGGCAGGAUUUCAAUCACAGGGGCUGGAUUUCUCAACUAUAUUUUGGAAACUUUUGCCAGCACAUUCUUAAGACAGGGAGCCCAGAAGGAGUCUGGGUUCAGCUUACUUGGGUCUACUUUAAAGUCUCACAAGAACAUAAUCAAGGUUUUGGCUGGUGCUGCAAACUCAUCUGAAGGCUCGAUGGGAAAAUUCCACUCCAGAUUCACUUGUUUCUGGGAAUUAGAAUAAUGGAGAUGCUGCUAAAGGAACAGUGUGGUGCCCCCUUAGUGGAAUAAAGAAUCAUCAGGCAGCUGUAUCGUGUUUGCUUUUUUUUUUCUCUUCUUCGAGAAUCACUUCUUGGCUACAGCAUUGGCGCAGUUCCUGGAGUACAGGUUUGAGGAUAUAGUGUUAGCAGCUCAAAGAAGAGGACACUUUCCUAUCAGAACAUAAAAUGACACAUUCCCCUUGGAGCCUGCUUCAAGUAGUGGGACUCAUGGAAAUGAGACUUUCUAGUUGGAUUUUUAUGGUGCAGUGUCUUUACGAUUUUACAAAUAAAGGAAAAACCCAUAUAAGAUGAUGCCGGUCCUCCUCGGGGUGUCCUCCUGGUCAUCUGAGAUGGUGUCAGGGCAGCCAGGGGCAGGAUAAAGUUCUGCAGAGGUGCUUGUGCUCAUGUGUUAUCAGCAUCAUUGCUCAUAGGAUUCAUGAGAGGAUUCUGGAACAAAUAAAGUUGCUCACCCUGAUAUGUGAUUUUCUAGGGAUCCUGGGACAGACAGGCUUAUGUCAGACCUGUGCUGAAACUAAACUAUAUUUAUUUCUAUCCAAAAGUGAUGCAUAACUACCAUUCCUAUUGCUUUUAUAAUGUAACACAUGAACUGUCCUUGGUCCUCUGAAAGGACAGGAAGCGUAGAGUAGAAAGCAGGCUCUUGCCUGGCUCCUUCUGUCUUGUUCUGUGAUAUGGGGCAUAUCAUUCACCUCUCUUUUUAACUGGGAAAAUCAGGCUCUCAGGUGUGGAUCUUUCUGCUGUGAGUUAUGAUGACUAAAUAAGAUAGUUUAGUUUGAAGAAUACAGGUUUGGGAGUUAGACAGACAGACAUAAGUUUGAAUCCAAGUGCUGCCACCUACUAUUUAGUGAUCAUAAACAUAAUUUUAUAUCUUUCUGAAGCUCAUUUUAAAAAAUUUAUAAAAUGUGAUAAUGGGAUUAACUGUGUGAUUCCUGGUGCCUUGUAGAGGUUCAGUAAAUAGAUUUUUAUUUGAAACCAUUUUGAAAAUACACCUUUCAACUAUAAUGUAAAGUGGUAUUACUGUUUGAAAAUUAGAUGACAGUAGCUUGCAUUUCCCAUGAUGGGAAGCCAAAAUAUAAAUGCACUCUACCUGAGAAGUAAUAAUUUGGAAUUCAUCUUCUUAAGAUAAAAAUUGAGCCAUUACUGGAAAGUCUUGGGGAAAUUGUUCUUUUUUAAUAUUUGAAAAUUUUUCUACUUAGUGCAUUGAUGAAUUUCAAAGCAAUUGUACUUUUUGGUACAAACCUGCCACUGCAAGCCUUCUUUUAUUUUGUUUGAGCUAUUUGUGCUGCCUGAGUUUUGUCUCUUGGGAUAAUUUCCCUUUAUUUCCGUAGUGUUUUAUUCCUCAGUUGUGUUGGAGGGAAAAAUGAAUAGUAGAAAUCAGAAUACAUUUUGACCUUCUUUUCCAGUUUGUAAAUGCCAUUUGGUAGGUUUUUGGAAUUAUAGCCUUUCCCCAAAAGUAAGGAGUGAUGUGAAUUGUCAUGGAGGUGAGAGGCAAAAAAUUUGUAUUUGAAGACUGAUAAUAGAAUAAAUGUAACCAUUCAUACUCAACAACUUGCAUUCUCUCCAAAGGUCAGAGUUCUCAUCAUUGCUGUCCAUUUGGGGGGACUUUAUGCUAUCUUGACGUUGGGGUUGCAUCCCAGACUAAGAAAUCAGAAUCUCUGGGGAUGGAUCCCAGGCAUCGUAUUUUUUAAGCUCUCCAGUUGAUUCCAAUGGGUAGCUGAGGUUGAGAACUCUACAACAAAUUCCAGGGAAUGUGCAGACUUUAUUUAAUUUCUUCCUAAUACUGCUGAGGUAGGAAAGGAUCUUUCUAGUGGGAUUUUUUUUUUUCUAGAAAUAGAGUGAGGCACAGAGAGACCCACACUCUGGCUUGAUUCCUCGAAGGCCAGGUGGCCAGUGCAAAUGCAUGCGGGGACCUGGUAGCUGGUUUAAUGAGUGAAGUAGGCUGGGGCCACUACGGAGACCCCCAGGAAUACAUGCCUGACUGAAAGUGAGCAGCUGCUGCCCAGCUCCCUCACUGUGUGGCUAUGUGGCUGUAAUUUUCCAUGAAAAGACAAACAUUUUUAAAAAAGAAAUCUCUUAAUUUCUUUAUGUUGGCAGCAAAUUGGCAUUGUUUGAAACCUUACACUGUCAACACAUGUUUGCCAGCCUGAACUUUUAGCCUGGGCUUCUAGGGUGUUGAGGACAGGGCUAAACAUCCCAGCCAACUUUUAAUAGAUUUGCAUUUUUGUAUUCUGGACAUAGCUGCAUUUUGCCUUUCUUCCACAACUGCUUUCAAAUGCAUUUCCUUCCUCAUUCCCAAGUAAUCCUCUGGACCCUUGUCAAACACUUUUCCUCAGUAUUUUUACCCCUGCAGGCAUUUAUUGAGUCCAGCUUCACAUAUGUGGUUUAGAAAUCUUACAGACUUUUAAAAAUUAAUUAGGGCAUAUUAGAUUUUUAAAAAAUUAUAUGUAUUUUAUAGAUGCUCAUAUUUAACUUUAUUAUCUGCAGUGUAGCAUAAGAAAUGUCAAAGCGAGAGGAGUGUUACUGGGCACACUAGGGACAAGAGUAGGGAGGGUUAAGUCAUAGACCUGGCCAUUCUCCUCCUGACUGGGUUGCUGAAGCUGCACAUCAGAGUGAAGGUGUCCUGUGUGACUCAGACUGCCAUGUGUACCAGGCACCCUUAGGGAGGGGUACAAAAAUGCAGGUCCUUAUGUCCUUCCCCUGGAAUUCUGACUCAUGUAGUUUCACUUGGGAUACAGGAUCUGCAUUUUGAAACCAGUUCUCCAGGAGAUUUGGUUGUUCUGUUUCACAGACCACAUUUUGAGAGACACUGAUUUGACGGAGAUAUUUUUUGUCUCUAUGUCUCCUGUUAUUUAAGAAGGUUUCACAGUCAUUAGGGCUCAAUGAUCAACACAGUUGAUUGCUGAAGACACAAUAUAAAGUUCUUGUGCAGAGAGGAGCUGACUUAACUUAUCCUUACAUGAUUGAGAUUCUUUCACCAGAAAAGGUGUUAUGAUUUAAAUCAUAUAUGGGUUAAAAAGGUGCUGUAUUCUUUUUAUAUGAAUUAUUUUGUGUAUUUUAGAAGCAGUAUAUAUGUAAUAAUUUUCUAUUUGUCAGACAUUGCAGGGUGCAUGGUAAAGGUAAUUCAAGAUUUUAAUUUGCGUACUUUUUUAUUUCAACCAUUAACAUGGAAUUAGUUCUCAAUUUAAUAUACAUUUCCUUGCUUUUUGUAAACAGAAUCUACUGAAGAUAAUUAAAUCUCUUCAGGAUCAUCAUUUGUGUUUUUAAUUCUUUCAGGUCCUACUUAGGUUAGUUGAAUCUCCUAUGCUGAAUAGCCCCCAAAAUGUGUUUGCUCUUUGAUUUCCUAAAUGGGGUUUAGAGAUUUUUUUUUUCCCUCACUGUUACCUGUCAUUUCUGGGCCUGCCUGUAGGAGAUUUCCUCUAAUUUUCCAGGGGGUUGGGAAAUCAUGUAAUAGUACACUCUAUAGCAAGUAACAGUAAACAGCAUCUGAAUGAGACUUUGAGAGGCCUUUCUAGCAUUAAAAUGAAUGAACUAGGCUACAUUCAUUUGUGACAUUAUUUUAGUGGUUCACGUACCUUUCUCUGGCUUAUUUCCUGAUCUUUAAAUGCAACUGUCAGAUCUGUGAUCUCAAGAUAAGUGACAUACAGCUAGAAAUCAUUUCUCUUGAUGUAUAAGCUAUUGUUUCCCCCAAUUGUGUUGGUGUUUUUACAUAUAUUCUUUUUUAUAAUGUGAAACAGAAGUAGAUUAAAAUUCAAAUGAAAAUUUCUCAGGCCAGAUUUUUAUACAAGAUAAAGUGUUUUUAAUUCAGUGUUAGUGUGAUUUAGAGCUAUAAAUUAGUUGUAUGCCUAUGAAAUUCCACCCUACAGUCAUUCUGAAAUAAAGAUUUUACAACUAA
Molecule: RNA transcript, 4673 nt
Organism: Heterocephalus glaber (naked mole-rat)
Lineage: Eukaryota; Metazoa; Chordata; Mammalia; Rodentia; Bathyergidae
Gene: Prelid2
Gene name: PRELI domain containing 2
Source: RefSeq, a predicted model, not a curated record